This 491-nucleotide ribosomal RNA is filed under the name uncultured bacterium. RNAcentral's name for it is "partial 16S ribosomal RNA". It matches the Rfam family "Bacterial small subunit ribosomal RNA", at positions 29 to 507 of the family's 1533-position model. The record is from RNAcentral.
AGUGAACGCUGGCGGUAGGCCUAACACAUGCAAGUCGAACGGCAGCACAGUAAGAGCUUGCUCUUACGGGUGGCGAGUGGCGGACGGGUGAGGAAUACAUCGGAAUCUACUUUUUCGUGGGGGAUAACGUAGGGAAACUUACGCUAAUACCGCAUACGACCUACGGGUGAAAGCAGGGGAUCUUCGGACCUUGCGCGAUUGAAUGAGCCGAUGUCGGAUUAGCUAGUUGGCGGGGUAAAGGCCCACCAAGGCGACGAUCCGUAGCUAGUCUGAGAGGAUGAUCAGCCACACUGGAACUGAGACACGGUCCAGACUCCUACGGGAGGCAGCAGUGGGGAAUAUUGGACAAUGGGCGCAAGCCUGAUCCAGCCAUACCGCGUGGGUGAAGAAGGCCUUCGGGUUGUAAAGCCCUUUUGUUGGGAAGAAAAGCAGCAGGUUAAUACCCCGCUGUUCUGACGGUACCCAAAGAAUAAGCACCGGCUAACUUCGUG